GUCAUGAGUCAAGAAGGACCUUCAGGAAGAACCAAAGUAACCAAAAAAAGGACAUAUGCUAAAGAAGGAUCAUUAUCAUCCUUGGUACAACAAAGACGAUCAUAUUUGACAACAAAAGAAACUCUUCAGGCUGUGCGGUCAGAGAAAAAGAACCUGCUAAAGUUAAUUGACAAAGAAUAGCCAAUUGCAAAACAACAACGAGUUACACCACAAUCUAAAACAAAUCAACAAUGUGUAGAGGAGCAACAAACUGUAGAGGAGCAACCAACUGUAGAGGAGCAGGUUCAAAUGGAUUCUACAAGCACUCUUCCAAUAAACGAACAAUCCGAAGAACAAGCUUCAGACCCUUCCACUCAAAAAAAUACUAAAGGUACAACACAAAUGUAAAGUGUACAUAGGAGAAAUUAUCCUACUAAACAACAACAAUCAACCAGUUGGUCCAACCAAAGAUGUUGUAGAGUUAAGUAGCUUUCUUGGCACAUUCGAAAGGAAUGCGACUCUUUGCCCUCUAGAGAUAUUAGAUUGGAGGUAUAUGAACACAAAAGAUGAUUUAUGGACAUAUACAGAGGAGGAAUAUGAUAUCACUGAUGAUGCGAUAGAAUGGGCGUUAGAAGUAAUUGGAUCUGCUUGGAGAAGACAUAAAUUUGAUCUAAAGAAAUUAUGUUACAAACCAUGUACUAGUCAUGAAGUUCUAAUGGGAAAACGACUUCCUUAUGUUUCAGAAUGUCAACUUAAGGAACUUCUCAAA
This is a long non-coding RNA of Solanum stenotomum, 748 nucleotides long. RefSeq lists it as uncharacterized. The transcript is spliced from 3 exons. Lineage: Eukaryota; Viridiplantae; Streptophyta; Magnoliopsida; Solanales; Solanaceae. The record is from RefSeq and is a predicted model, not a curated record.